AACGAACGCUGGCGGCAGGCUUAACACAUGCAAGUCGAGCGCCCCGCAAGGGGAGCGGCAGACGGGUGAGUAACGCGUGGGAACGUACCUUUUGGUUCGGAACAACUCCGGGAAACUGGAGCUAAUACCGGAUAAGCCCUAACGGGGAAAGAUUUAUCGCCGAAAGAUCGGCCCGCGUCUGAUUAGCUAGUUGGUGAGGUAACGGCUCACCAAGGCGACGAUCAGUAGCUGGUCUGAGAGGAUGAUCAGCCACACUGGGACUGAGACACGGCCCAGACUCCUACGGGAGGCAGCAGUGGAGAAUAUUGGACAAUGGGCGCAAGACUGAUCAAGCCAUGCCGCGUGAGUGAUGAAGGCCUUAGGGUUGUAAAGCUCUUUUGUCCGGGAAGAUAAUGACUGUACCGGAAGAAUAAGCCCCGGCUAACUUCGUG
This 431-nucleotide ribosomal RNA is filed under the name uncultured bacterium. Its description in RNAcentral is "partial 16S ribosomal RNA". It matches the Rfam family "Bacterial small subunit ribosomal RNA", at positions 29 to 507 of the family's 1533-position model. The record is from RNAcentral.